GCUGGGUGUGGUGGCGCACACCUGUAAUCCCAGCUACUCAGGAGGCUGAGGCAGGAGAAUUGCUUGAACUCAGGAGGCAGAGGCUGCCGUGAGCUGAGUCACGCCACUGCACUCCGGCCUGGGCAACAGAGUGAGACUCUGUCUCAA
This 147-nucleotide small RNA is filed under the name Papio anubis (olive baboon). Its description in RNAcentral is "Metazoan signal recognition particle RNA (ENSPANG00000048786.1)". Lineage: Eukaryota; Metazoa; Chordata; Mammalia; Primates; Cercopithecidae. The record is from Rfam by way of RNAcentral.